CUUCACUGGAUACAGAACUCAGACUCAGAAGCAAAGAGAAAGGCUACAAUGCCAAAACCAAAAGUAAGCAGACCGGUUCUUUCACUAAACCUGGACACUUUGAAUGGCCAAAUAAGAAAGGUAAGCACUGCAAAGAGGCGCUGAAUGAUCAGGUUAAAGCAAAGGAGGAUUUAAACUCCCUCCAACUGCAACAGGGAAUACCUGCUACUCAUCACUCUGUCUUUAGCUUAACAUCUGAUGACAAAUGGCAAUAAGACAAUUAGAGAGAUGCUGCUUCUCUUGACACAAACUAUAAAUACCCUACUAAAUGGAGAAGCCCAUGUAAGGUUGCAUUAAGCUCUCAAAAAUCAGAAAAUGCCACAAUUAAAGUCCCUUGAUCUUUAUGUCUUCAAUAUCAUUAAAGCAAACAAUUAUGUGACCACAAACUCCCACCACAAUGAAUAACGUUAAUUUUUCUAUACCUUUCUAUAGUUUUACAUACCUUUCUAUAAAUUUACAUACUUUGAGGGCAUCUGAUGGCAUUUAUUGUUUCUCGCAAACGUGGAUGUUCAAGUGCAAGUAGAUAAAUAGGUACCACUCCGGCGGGAAGGUAAAUGGCGUUUCCGUGCGCUGCUCUGGUUCGCCAGAAGUGGCUUAGUCAUGCUGGCCACAUGACCCAGAAAAACUGUCAGCGGACAAAUGCCGGCUCCCUCGGCCAAUAAAGCGAGAUGAGCGCACAACCCCAGAGUCGUCUGUCGUUUUAAGGUAAAUGUUGGAACAGAAGAUAGUCUCCCCUUAUUCAUGUAUUCAAAAGAACACAUGUGGGCCUAAGCCUGUUUCACCCCCUCGCCCUUCUGCAUUCCCAAACGUUGACGCUGCCAGUCACAAAGUGAUUUGCAAGUGCAUCCACUUUGAAGCCCCUCAGAGGUGGAAAAGGUGUGCGUGGUACCAGGAGAGCACUGGCAGUGAGGGUGGUGCAUGCACACACAUUUUAUACACUUUGUGCCCACUCACAUUCUUCCAAACACAUGAAUAGAGCUUUCGUUGCUUUGUUUCUACGUCGCACCUUUAAGCCAUCGUUCAAGAUACCCAAAUAGGCAACGCCUACUUUGUUAGCCUUAUGAAACACAAAAUGUCUUGGAAUACAAUUUGUCGUAACAUAUUAUCAGUUUAAGUGACAGGGAGCUGUGACUCAUCUCCACUGCCUUGCACAGUGUGCUCUGUUCUCCUGUAGCUCAGAAACAAAAAGACAGGUAUGAGAUGCUUAUGUAAAAGUAAACAAGAAGACUUUCAAGAAGUCAAUGUUUCCAUGAUUUCUGAGAGGAGAUAACAGCCAGCUGCUUAUUUUUCACUGCAGGGGAGUCUGCUCUUCCUGGCGAAAUAUCUCUACUUGUUGUGGUCUAGAGGAGCUAUGCUGUUACUCAUGGUGGUACCUCUGGUGGGGGACACACCAUGCUCCUUCCAGGGUAGUUUGUUCGCCUUCAUCCCCAUCCUGCACUCAGCUCUCACCUGCAGCUCCUAGAAGCUGUUAGCAGGUGUGGCUGUCUCCAUCCCCUCUGACUAGCUGUACCCACAGUGAACCAGACUGAGGUUUCCAGCUCAGUGCUUUCCAAGCUACUCUCCACUGUAGUGGAAUUCCACUGCACUCCAUCACCAAAUUCUGGCCUUUCUCAGCUUUCUAGAACAGAUGGCACAUUGUAAACCUCCCUCCAGCAGCUCCUGCAGCCAAGCUGGUGCCAAACGUAUUGCUCUGCUUUCCCUUGGACCCCAUCAGCGGAGUCUGUAACCUGAAGUGUCUGUAACCCAACGUACCACUGCAUACAUGAUUUUAUCUUUUGUUUUUACAGUGGUGCCUCGCAAGACGAAAAACUCGCUAGACGAAAGGGUUUUGCGUUUUUUGAGUCGUUCCGCAAGACGAAUUUCCCUAUGGGCUUGCUUCGCAAGAUGAAACGUCUUGCGAGUUCUUGUGAGUUUGUUUCCUUUUUCUUAAAGCCGCUAAGCCGUUAAUAGCCACUAAUCCGCUAAGCCGUUAAUAGCCGCUAAGCCGCUAAGCCGCUAAUAGCCGCUAAGCCGCUAAUAGCCGUGCUUCGCAAGACGAAAAAAUCGCAAGACGAAGAGACUCGCGGAACGGAUUAAUUUCGUCUUGUGAGGCACCACUGUAAUGCUUUAAUGUCUUAAUUUCAAGAUUCAUUUAUUUUCCCGCUGUUCCAUUUAUGGUGUGAUCUAUACAUUUGAACUCCUGUCAACCUAGCAGUUCGAAAGCAUGUUAAAGUGCAAGUAGAUAAAUAGGUACCACUCUGGUGGGAAGGUAAAUGGCGUUUCCGUGCGCUGCUCUGGUUUCGCCAGAAGUGGCUUAGUCAUGUUGGCCACAUGACCCGGAAAAACUGUCUGUGGACAAAACGUCGGCUCCCUCGGCCUGUAAAGCGAGAUGAGCGCCGCAACCCCAGAGUCGUUCGCGACUGGACUUAACUGUCAGGGCUCCUUUACCUUUUUUAUACAUUUGAAUGCAUUGGGUGGAUUUUGUAAGCCAUAUUGAAGGGCAGCUGUCUGCCACUCAAUGUGGAUAAGCCCUUGUCCUUUUUAUGGUUUUUGGUGCUUUGGGGAGGGGGUAGCUACAUCUGGUGUUGGGCCAAAGAGACGUAUUAGGGAGGCUGUUCUUGUAUUACCUAUCCUACUGUUCAACCACCUCUCUGGUGUUUGAGGAACCUAGAACUUUGGGUGACUUCAACAUCCACAUGGAAGAUGUCUCAGGUCUGGCUCAGGAAUGACCUCUAUGCAUAGGGGACAACAGCUGGUAAAGCAGACAGAACGGGAAAAAAUACUCAAUUUGGGGUUUUAACAGUCCUUGCAUUAGUUGUGCUGUUGUUGCAUUCCUUUUUCCAUUCAGAAGCUUCACAGUAAUGGAAUUAGGAGCUCAGGUUACAAUUAUGACUUUAGGCAAAGAUGUAAUGAUUAUAAAUGUCAAUUUUUAAUUUCCAAAUACAAGAGUUCAUGCCUCAGCAGGCAUUAGCAAAUGACAUUCUGGAAACAAGCAAUUAAUUAAAGUAUCUGGCAUCCAGAGGAGUAAUUUUCUUUUGACAAUACUAAAAAUCAGCCAUGGCAAAUGUGAAGGGGGAAAAACACACAUUUCCAUUCUUAUUGUUACAAAGCAAGUAUCCAAAUACUGCUGCUGUACAUGUUGUCAUGACUAGAGAAGAUUCCGUGUUUCCAUUUUGAGAAACAGAAACGGGCUGCUGCUACCAAGAAUGAGACAAUAGCAUUUUUUUGUGUGGUGCUUCAACACUUCCUCAAGCCGCAGGAAAUUCCAGGGCCUGCCGCUACAAAGUCCACUUCCUUAUGAUGAAAGUGUACAACAGACAGAUGGUGUUAUUGAUGUUAUUUACAAAUGUGCACGUUGGUUGGAAAGAAGGAAGCAGGCACACUCCCUGGCAAUAUUAGUAUUCAAAACAGUAUCGAGAACCAACCCAAAAAAGAAGGCCCCAAAGAAACGAAUUGCUACUGGGAAAUGAGAGAUUAGGAGGAUAUGGGGGGUGGACAAGGAGCCCCACAGAGAUCAGGGACAUUAUUUAAGAAGAUAUGUCCGUUUCUGCAAUAUAGAAUCAUUAUUCUCUAUAAUAGCAACAGCAAUUGUGUAGGUUUUUUUUUUAAAAAAAUAUACUUUAUUGAUUAAUCUCUUGGUGCUGAAUGACAAUGUCAAUAAAAAAAAUGUUUCUCACACUUGAUAUUGGCAAUUGGAGAAUUCUCUCCUUUGCCUAAGGAGCCAAGAGGCACAAUUCAGGGAGAUAAUGCCUCUAUCUGCCAUCUGUUCAGAGUGCCAAAAUCCUCUUAAACAGCAUCAGUACUAUCCUAAACCUUAAGUCUCCCAAGUGUCUCAAAUUAGCAUGACUAGAAAUACCAACUAAUAAGAAAUAGCAAUGGUCCCAGAACGCAGUAGGUCCCAGAAUGAUCGUCAGGGGUUCAGGUCAAAUGCCCAUGGUCCCAGUCAGCAGAAUGAGCAGGAGAUGCCGGAAAUGUAAGUAAGUAAGUAAAUGUAAAUGCCCCAAAUGUAAGUAAGUAAAGAAACAACAGUAAAAUGGUUCCAUCUAAAAAGGGUGUGUGUCUAAGGUCACCAAGUCUGGUGUCAGAAAUUGCCUAGCCACGCCAUUGCCAGGAUGUAAAAACAAAUGGAAGAGAGCCCUGAGGCAAGACAACUGAAGUAAAGGAGAGGAACACUCAAUCCUAACAGGGCUCUGUUUAAAACAAUGCCAACAAGUUUUAUAAGUAAUAAUUCUAAAUAAUAUAAAAAAUAAAGUUCAGGCUAUGAUUAGGGAUCAGGAGAAGAUGGGAUAGCCACAGACAAAAUAUGUCAAUACUCCAUAUUUGUUUGGACAAGGGUACAGAAACCUCCAAGUAUCCAAGCUAAAAAGGUAAAGGUACCCCUGACCAUUAGUCCAGUCGCAGACGACUCUGGGAUUGUGGCGCUCAUCUCGUUUAACUGGCCAAGGGAGCCGGUGUACAGCUUCCGAGUCAUGUGACCAGCAUGACUAAGCCGCUUCUGACGAACCAGAGCAGCGCACAGAAACACCGUUUACCUUCCCGCCGGAGUGGUACCUAUUUAUCUACUUGCACUUUGAUGUGCUUUCAAACUGCUAGGUUGGCAGGAGCUGGGACCGAAGAACGGGAGCUCACCCCAUUGGGAGGCGGUGGAAAUCAGGAUUCUCUAUCAUAGGGGAGUCUAUAUGAAUAGAGCUGUGCUGAAGAUGGUUCCUUGUGGCUUGUGGAAGGCAAAGCAGGGGGAGAAGUGUACAAUAUAGGGGGAGCAGACAUUCUCCCCAUACCAAAUUCAGCACUUGGGCUUCUUAAAUGAAAGCGUGUGGGGAGAGGGUGUUGCUACUUGGCAGAAUGAAGGAAUUAGAAUAGUCAAGGACUGUGGCUUGGAGACUUGCCUAUAAUAAAUGGAAGGAUAAUCUGUGCUUUUCUCAGAGUGAAAAGAGGCUGGAUUGAAGCAUAUUGGGGUGGGGGUGGCCCAGGGCAAAAUGUAGGUUCAAAUCCCCACUCAGGGUGACUUUGGGACUGCCACCAUCUCUCAGCCCAACCUACCUCACUUGGGUUGUUGUGGAGGUAAAAAGCAAAAAGGAAGGGGAUUUAGCUAUGACGAUAUUUGGUUGUUGUUGUUGUUAAAAAAUCUAGAAUGGGAGGGGCUUAUUGUUUUGUUGUUUCUGUUUACAGUGGUGCCCCGCAAGACGAAUGCCUCGCAAGACGGAAAACCCGCUAGACGAAAGGGUUUUCCGUUUUGGAGGUGCUUCGCAAAACGAAUUUCCUAUGUGCUUGCUUCGCAAGACGAAAAUGUCUUGCGAGUUCCUGCGGGGUUUUUUCCUCCCCCUUUUUCCCAAUCCGCUAAACCGCAUAUCAGCUGAUGGCUAAGCCGCGUAUCAGCUGAUCUUUAAGCCCCUUACCAGCUGAUUCUAAGCCGCUUAUCAGCUGAUCUUUAAGCCGCUUAACAGAUGAUGCUAAGCCGCUUAUCAGCUGAUCUUUAAGCCGGCUAAGCCGCUAAUACUGUAGGGCUAAGCCGCUAAACCUCUAAUGGGCUUGCUUCGCAAGACGAAAAAACCCGCAAGACGAAGAGACUCGCGGAACGGAUUCUUUUCGUCUUGCGAGGCACCACUGUAUUUGUGUUUUUAUCUUGUAUUUUCAUUUUGUGAACUACUCUUGAGAUCUGACAAAGAGUGGAAUAUAAAUCUAAUAUUGGGAGCAAAGUCUAGCACACAUUAGGUACGAGAAAAGCCCGCCAGAAACCCUCUGGGGCUGCAUUGCAUGUUCAGUGAGAAAAGACUAUAAUAUGCAUUAGGUAAAUUAGGUCUCUGUAUUUUGUAAUCAAAAUUACAAUAAUGCAGUUAAGCACCUUGGGCUCUACUUUGAUUGGAAUAAACCUCUGAGGUCCUCCUGGCACAGAACUCGGUUGGCCAGGUUCAAAGGCAGCAACCCUGUUCUGAUAGGAUACAGCAAACUAGUAAUUAGUAAAUUGUCUUAAUUUAUACAAAUAUAAAAUCAUUUCAUUAACUAUUUUGAUAAAUUAAAUUGCAAUAUCACAGAAUACUAGUUAAAAGCAUUUCUAGUGUGUAUUAUUUCAAAAAAUAGCAUUUGCUGUUGAUGCCUUAACCAUAUAUGUCAUAUGAUUUACUGCAAUGUGAGUCACAGAAUCCAUUUAGGAAUUGCUUCAAGCUUUUAAUAAGAGCUGAGAGAGAUUAAAUUAAAAACAAAGAUCCACAGAAAUUUCUUUAGCCUGGGUGAUUUGGUGCCUCUGAAUUGCAGCAAGGCUUUCCAAUCAAAGCUGUAUUUGUAAAUUUGUACAUUUCUAUCAUGGCUUUUGAUGUGGCUGUACUUAUUGACUUUUUGGUAAAUUGUUAUUUUAGCAAUCCUGAAAGUGUGUGUGGGAAAUGAAUAGAUCUUGGGGUAAUUAAUAAAAGAAUUGGCUGAAUCCCUAGAUCUAAAGUGAAGAGCUAAAACACACCCUCCAAUAAGACAGAGCCCCCAGCAGAAUAUUAAAAUCACAGAAUCAUGCAGCAUAGUGAAGCAUGAGGAAUGUAGGCUGUUAGACCUUUAAAAUAUCCUGCUUAGUCCAUUUACAGCACUUCCCCUCUCUACACUGCUUGCAAUGAACAGACUACACUGUUAGUAAGUUCAAAUCCUCAUAAACCUCCAAAGGACAGAUUCAUGAGUUAUUACAUGCAGCAGCAAGAAAAACACAGGCAGAAUUCUUGGGAUACAAAAUAUAGUGAAUAACUCUAAGUGCACGAUCUGAGCUUGUAGUGAGCAAGCUUAAACACAUCCUAUUUCAGUGAGAUCACAUGGUGAGAAAGAAUGAACAGAGGAAACUUAACUUCCUUCCAGGUGAGGGACAUGACCAGCUGAGUCGGGGGGGGGGGGGAAUUCUGUGGUUUUAACCCCUUCAUGGAUUAACUAGCCCUAAGCCUGCCCGUUAUAUUUAUCAGCAAUUUCGCACGGAGAAAUGAUGCUAACUGAUUCCUUUGGUUGGGAUUGACUCACAUGCAUUAGCUAAAUACAGGUAUUUAUGAUAAGGGAUAAGGCUUAUCCUACAGAUGGUGCAUGACUUUUAUCACUUUCCACUCAUGUUGUUAUAGAAAAGGGUUUCCCAUAGUUUUUUCUCUACAGUAAUGUCCUCGUACAAAAAUGCCCUCAGACUUCUACCAUGUGAUUUAGGUUUGACGAGGCCCUAAGCUACUGAAGGUAAUAGGGCUCUUUAUAUGUCCAGCUGUCCUUUGUCAACAACAAAUUGUCACUGUUUUUUGUGUUGAAUAUAUGCUAUAUGGUAAUUUAUGGACCUAAUAGGUAUGUAAAGCCAUUUGCGCAUAACAAAAUAUUGUAGGUUUUAUUUCAUUUAUUUUUUUAUCUUAUAUUUUGGAAAUGUACAUCCAGAUUUUUCCCCUUUAACAUUUUUGGGGGUCCCUAAGAGAGUGGGGCCCUAAGCUGUAGCUCGUUUAGUUUAUACGUAAAUCCGGCACUGCAUGUGAUGCUUUCUACUCUUUCUUAGUGGAUUGGAUUUUGGCCACUGUGGGCUACUUGCAAGGAAAGCAUUGAUACUCUUGGGGUUUAAGUUUGGUUCAUGGAUAGUUCAAUCCAGAAGGCAGCAAGGUGAAUGUAAGUCCCGGGCCAUUUAAGGGCUCCAAGACCAGAAACCUGAAUUUAUUCGUUCAUUUCCUGAUGUAUAAUUUCCCCCAUCACCAAGGCUCAAGGAAAAGGAAGUAACAAAACCCAUUUCUGUAGUGAGCGUUGAUUGGUGUUGACAUUAUAAUCAUUAUACCGUUCAGGUUAAUGGACACGACUAACUCAGGUUUAACAUGAAUAGAAUUUAGCCGAAUGACGUCUGGGUUUCUUUUCUCUUUUUUCCUGUUUUCUUUUCAUUUUUGUUGUUUUAUGGUGAUUUUAGGUUUUGUAAUGGUUUGGAUUUUGCUUUUAUUGUAUUGUAUUAUUGCUGUUUCUAUUGUAUGCUGCCCUGGGUUCUGUUUGCAUAAAGGGUGAUUUAGGAUUUUUAAAGGUAGCUGUCAGGGAACUGCCAUCGGAAGGCAGGGAGGUGAAAGGACUCAGACAGGUUGGAAGAGACUCAGCAGCUGAAGAGGGAACCAGCAAGGGGAGAGAAGCUGAACUGAGGGAGGUGAAAGGGCUCAGACAGGUUGGAAGAGACUCAGCAGCUGAAGAGGAAACCAGCAGGGGAGAGAAGCUGAACUGAGGGAAAGGGAGCUGGGGGAUGGCUCAGAGAUACUUCCAGCGAAAACAGUGGUGAGGUUUCCGGACCUCCUGUAGGGACACCCACUCCUCGCCGGAAACUGUCACGCAGAGAGUCCAGAAGACGUGUUUCCGUUAAGGAGCUUUUAUGUUGGAAGCGAUUACGAAAGCAACCACUGUCGGAAUCUUCUAGUGACUAGAGGAGCCAUGUCAGAGGGGCUCAGUCACAGACAGAGGUUUGUGGACUUGAACAAACUCUGAGGGAAUACGAUUUUACGCACAAGCAGCUCAUCUUCCCAUCACAGCAUUCCGACAGUCUUUGAACGCAGCUUGUGCAGGAGAAGGCAUAAUGAGCAACCCAGCAGGAACCGGAGAAGCAGGGGCUGGAGCGGGUCCAAGCCUGGAAGAAAGGUACCGGGUGUUGGAGGUCCAGCUGGCGCUGCAGACGGCGAGGCUGGAGGAGAGGAGGGCUCAAGAUGCAGACAAAGGGAGAAAGCCACCCAGCUCGCCAGAAAGGUACCAGGAUUGGUGCAGAAAUUUGGGGGGGAGCCCAAAGACUAUCAUAGCUUUCGGACAGAAAUGCAAUAUGCCCUCAAUCUGCAGUUUGAUGAUUUCCCUGAUGAGGAAUCACGAGUGGCUUUUGUGAUUGGGCAUCUUGAAAAGGGGGCGAGAGACUGGGUUAGACCCCUGAUGGCAGCGCAUAGUGACGUCCUAAAGGACACGAUGAAGUUCUUUCGCGCCAUGGAUCUGAUGUUUUCCAGCGAUAUUGAAAAGGGAGUGGUGCGCAGACAGUUAAUGGCUUGCAAACAGGGGAGCCGAUCUGUACGUGAGUACUGGACUGAGUUCACCAUGCUGAUACACAGAUUGGGGUGGGACUUAUCGGCGGAACCCAUUCAAAUGCUCUUUGAAGAAGGGCUUUCUUCGGCUGUGAAAGAUGAACUUUCCCGGGCGCCCAGGGCGGAGUCUAUGGACCAGCUGACCAAAUCAGCGCUGGCCAUAGGAGCGCGCCAGGAGGCGAGAGCAUUGGAGAGGCGGGAAGGGAAAGGGGAACGUUGGAAGGAGUUCCGCAUUCCAGACAUUCCAGAGCCAACUUUCCCGCCGGCAGAGCCGAUGGAAAUCGGAACAGCGCGCGCGCGCAGUUUCAAAGCCCAGUGAGGGUGGAAAGAAGGAGGGAAAAGGCGCCCGGAAAUGCUAUCUCUGCCAACAGCCAGGGCACUUUGCCAGAGUCUGCCCCCAGAGGAAGGAAUGGCAAGGGAUGGUGGGAGCUGUGGAGGGAAGAGAGGAAAAAUACCGGAGCAACUAAAAGCCAACGCCUGGCUGCCAUUGUCGGGCACAGCAGCCAGGCCAAAGAGCAGUGAAAGUGCCCACGCCAGAACCUCCUAAACCCGCCCUAGUGAUAGAAGUGACACUAGAGCUGCCAAACGGACACCCUCUAAAGAUAAAGGCGCUGUUGGACUCAGGCAGCUCCUGCAAUUUCAUGAGCAAAGAGUUUGCAGCUGAACACCAGAUACAGACGCUCCCUGUAAGCAACCCCCUGCAGGUAACCACGAUCGAUGGCAGGGAGCUGUUGGGAGGAGAAGUCAGCUUGCAGACCGUCCCAAUGAUAAUGAAGGUGGCAAGGCACACCGAACUAAUAGCAUUUAAUGUGGCCACCUUGGGAGGAGCUCCCAUUAUAUUGGGGAUGAGCUGGCUAGCGUUACAUGAUCCGCUGGUGGGCUGGCAUCAAAGAGUGGUUUCUUUUGGGUCAGCACAUUGCUUAGAACACUGCAAAGAGGGAAAGGUUUUGGCAGGGGCCCAAGCCACCCUAGCAGGGACUGAAGUAACGGAGAACGUGAAGGUACCACGACAAUACGCAGAUCUCCGCGACGUCUUCAGCGAAAGGGAAGCUGAUCAACUACCACCGCAUAGAGCCUUUGACUGUCAAAUCAAUUUGCUCCCUGGGGCACAGCUCCCUGUGGGCAAGCUGUACGCCAUGUCAGACAGAGAGAUGCAGGAGCUAAGAGAGUUCAUUGACAAGAACCUGAAGAGAGGGUUCAUCAGAGAGUCCAAGGCGGUGGGGGGCAGCCCAGUGUUUUUUGUGGCCAAAAAAACACGAACAAGCCGAGACUGGUGUGUGACUUCAGGGCCUUAAAUGCAGUGUCAGAACCAGUGGCCUUCCCGAUGCCCAGGAUUGACGACAUUUUGACAAGGGUGCGGAAGGGAAAGAUUUUCACCAAGCUGGAUCUAAGGGGGGCGUACAACCUGAUACGAAUAAGGAAGGGGGAUGAAUGGAAAACCACCAUGUUCACCCCUUUAGGGGCAUUUGAAUACUUAGUUAUGCCCUUCGGUCUACAAGCAGGCUCCGCAACAUUUCAAUCGUUUAUGAACCACGUCCUGGGGCCGUUGCUUUACAAGAAUUGUGUGGCCUUCUUAGACGACGUGUUGGUGUAUUCUGAGAAUGAGGAGCAGCAUGUGAGAGACGUCAGAGAAGUGUUGAGCAGGCUGCAAGCCAACCAGCUGUGGGUGAAACUGGAGAAGUGUCAGUUUCAUACCAAGGAGGUGGAAUUCCUGGGGUAUCGCCUGUCUGACAAGGGGUUGGCCAUGGAUCCCGGCAAGGUCCAGGCGGUACUGGAAUGGAAAACACCCAAAACAAGGAAGGAUGUGCAGAGGUUUUUAGGAUUUGGGAACUUCUAUCGUAAGUUCAUCCCAAACUUUGCCCACCUGACGGCGCCCAUUACGGACUGUCUCAGCAGUAAGAAGAAGUUCGUUUGGACGGAGGAGGCGGAGCAAGCAUUUGAGGAACUAAAAGGGCCUUCGCCUCGGAACAACAGCUCCUGCAUGUGGAUUUACAAAAACCGAUGAGAGUGGAAACUGACGCAUCAGACAGAGCGGUUGGGGCGGUGCUUCUCCAGCCAGGGAAGGAGGAGUCAGAGUGGAGACCGUGUGCUUUUUUUCGCGAAAGCUGAACAAAUCCGAGAGGAACUACACGGUGUAUGACCGAGAACUACUAGCCAUUCAUGAGGCGUUCCGGAGAUGGAGGCACCUGCUAAUUGGCGCACAACAUAAGGUGCAAGUGUGCACUGACCACAAGAACCUAGAGUAUUGGAGGACGGCACGAGUGCUCAACCAACGGCAAGUGAGAUGGGCCCAGGAAUUCUCCAAAUUUAACUUUGAGAUUUGUUAUGUGCCAGGCCCAGAGAACAUUAGGGCGGACGCUCUCUCACGCAAACCUGAAUAUUUGGAGGGGGAGGGAGCACCUGAAGAGAGACAUGUCAUUCCAGAGGACCGCUGGGUGUGUGGGGCGGCAUUGGUGGGACAAAGAGAACUGGUAGAAGAAACAGAGAAUGAUGAAUACGCCCAGAAUAAGCUCAGAGGUCUUAGGGAUGAGGGAGAGGAAUCAAGGGGUUUCGAGGAAAGAAAUGGAGCUUUGUAUUACAAAGGGGCACUGUAUAUCCCUGAAGGAGACUUAAGGGGGAGGGUACUCAAGCAGUUGCAUGACAGCCCCACGGCGCGGCACUCUGGGCAACACAAAACCAUGUGGUUGGUCACCAGGGAAUUUUGGUGGCCUAAGGUGAGGGAGGAUGUACGUGAGUAUGUAAGAGGGUGCGAGCAGUGCCAGCGAGCCAAAGGGGAAAGGCGGGCGCCGGCGGGGCUAUUAGAACCCUUACCAACACCAGAACGACCUUGGGAGGCAGUGUCGAUAGAUUUUAUGACUGAUCUGCCGAAGUCCAAAGGGAAAACAGCCAUCAUGGUGGUGGUAGACCUACUAACAAAGAUGUGCCACUUUGUAGCUUGCUCGCAUGCAGUCACGGCGGAAGAGACAGCGAAGUUAUUUGUAGAACACAUUUUUAGGUUGCACGGGGUGCCAUUGAGGGUGGUCUCAGACCGAGGAAAACAAUUUACUUCCAGGUUCUGGAGGAAGCUCAUGAGCUUACUGCAGGUGGAGGUCAACUUUUCGACUGCCCGGCACCCUGAAACCAACGGGCAGGCGGAAAGAGCAAACGGUGUCCUCCAGCAAUACCUGAGGUGUUAUGUCAAUGACAGAGAGAAUGACUGGGUAGAAAAGUUGGCGCUGGCGGAAUUUGCCUACAACAAUGCCGAGAAUGUGUCCACAGGGAUGAGCCCCUUCUUGGCUAAUUAUGGGUGUCAUCCCAGGGCUUUCCCAGGGGAGAAGGGGAGAGAUGGAGCGUACCGGCAGCCGAGCAUUUUGUAGAAGAAAUGGAAGCAAUCCACCGUCAGCUCCAACUCAACUUAGAAAGGGCGAAGGAAGAAUACAAGAGGCAGGCAGACAAGAACCGAAGGGAAGGUGAAACCAUAAGGGUUGGAGAUAGGGUGUGGCUGUCAACCCGAGGGUUGCCGUUCAAAGGAGGUUGUAAGAAAUUAAGACCCAGGAGGUUGGGUCCCUUUGAGGUCAUUCAACAGGUCAACCCAGUGGCUUUCAGGCUCCGGUUACCCAACCACAUGAAACUGCACCCAGUAUUUCACAGGUCGUUACUGUCACCGUACGAGGGGGGACGAGAAGGGAUGGCCACUGGGACCGGUCAUAGAAGAAAGAGAAUGCAGCAGUCAUGUGGCAGAAAUCCUUGAUGCCAGGUGGAAGGGGAAUCAGGUGGAGUAUUUGGUAGCGUGGGAAGGAGAACCGGAGUCAGAAAACACGUGGGUAAUGGCCGAAGAUAUCAAUGACGAGGUAUUGAUAGAAACGUUCCAUCAAAGGUUCCCGAGGAAACCUCAGCCUGUGGAGAGGUUCCGGAGGGAAUACUUUGGGACCACUGAGGAGGAGGAGGAGUUGGAAGGAUUCCCAGAAUCGGAAGGGGAAGGGGAGAUGGACUCGGAGGAGGAGGAGUGCUUCGAGACCAGGAACCGCAACAGGUGGAGAGAAGUGUUCGAGACAUCGGAAGAUGAAGGAAGUUCAUUCCGGGUUUUGCCUCCUCACCGCCCGUAGAGGAGGGGGCGAGAGGGGGUGAAGGGGGCCCUGGAGGGGAGGUGGAUGUCAGGGAACUGCCAUCGGAAGGCAGGGAGGUGAAAGGACUCAGACAGGUUGGAAGAGACUCAGCAGCUGAAGAGGGAACCAGCAAGGGGAGAGAAGCUGAACUGAGGGAGGUGAAAGGGCUCAGACAGGUUGGAAGAGACUCAGCAGCUGAAGAGGAAACCAGCAGGGGGAGAGAAGCUGAACUGAGGGAAAGGGAGCUGGGGGGAUGGCUCAGAGAUACUUCCAGCGAAAACAGUGGUGAGGUUUCCGGACCUCCUGUAGGGACACCCACUCCUCGCCGGAAACUGUCACGCAGAGAGUCCAGAAGACGUGUUUCCGUUAAGGAGCUUUUAUGUUGGAAGCGAUUACGAAAGCAACCACUGUCGGAAUCUUCUAGUGACUAGAGGAGCCAUGUCAGAGGGGCNNNNNNNNNNNNNNNNNNNNNNNNNNNNNNNNNNNNNNNNNNNNNNNNNNNNNNNNNNNNNNNNNNNNNNNNNNNNNNNNNNNNNNNNNNNNNNNNNNNNCUCAGACAGGUUGGAAGAGACUCAGCAGCUGAAGAGGGAACCAGCAAGGGAGAGAAGCUGAACUGAGGGAGGUGAAAGGGCUCAGACAGGUUGGAAGAGACUCAGCAGCUGAAGAGGAAACCAGCAGGGGAGAGAAGCUGAACUGAGGGAAAGGGAGCUGGGGGAUGGCUCAGAGAUACUUCCAGCGAAAACAGUGGUGAGGUUUCCGGACCUCCUGUAGGGACACCCACUCCUCGCCGGAAACUGUCACGCAGAGAGUCCAGAAGACGUGUUUCCGUUAAGGAGCUUUUAUGUUGGAAGCGAUUACGAAAGCAACCACUGUCGGAAUCUUCUAGUGACUAGAGGAGCCAUGUCAGAGGGGCUCAGUCACAGACAGAGGUUUGUGGACUUGAACAAACUCUGAGGGAAUACGAUUUUACGCACAAGCAGCUCAUCUUCCCAUCACAGUAGCCAAAAUCAAUAAACUAGAAUUAGACUCUAUUUAAUUCAGUGAUGUUUCGCUAUGCUUUCUGAACUAUAUUCUGGGUUCAGCCACAGAAAACACCUCUCCUUGCACGUUUGCUGACUGAACCGGAUGCACAGACCUUAUCAUAACAUCAUACGCUUUAGUGGAUCAAAACAGGAAGUGGUCUCUCAGGUAUGUUGGGCCAAAGCUGUUUAAGUUACAACUAGCAUCUUAAAUUGUCUCCAGAAGGCAGUGGAAGAAAUUCAAAAGUUCCAUUUCCCUUCUGUUUAGUUGCUUUCUAUUGUUUCCUGAUCUUCUGAACUUCUGAGCUUGUGCUGUCCCCUACUGCGUGGGCAGAAUGAGGAAUUUAGGAGCAGGAACCUACGUUAAUUAUGAGUAUUUGUUUCAUUUGCAAGGCUUUCCACACACUUCUGCUGCUGCUGCUGCUUCCACCCUCCUCCAGCAUGUCUUACCAUUUACUUCCUUUAAGCCCACUGUUCCCUGGACCAUGGUUUUUUGAGGAAUUUUGGCAUUUAAAAAAACCCAUCAGCUGGGACAAAGCUUCAUUGUUCUAAGGCUUGAGCAGGGAUGGGGUAGGUGGGUGGGUGGGAUUCAGUUCAGUUCAGUUAAGAUUUUCAUGCAAACCUAUUUAAUGCACACUUCUAGAAUAAUAUGUGAAUUGAAACACAGCUAUUCUUCAAAAUCCACAUUUCUGAAUUUUUUAGCGCAGUUCUCCAACCAAAGAACACAUCACAAAAUGUACAUUUUAGGAAGACAGUGUGGAUGAGAAUGCAUGCCUUACUGGAAAUAUGUUUGUGUGUGUGUAGGGAUUUUAUUUGCUUGCAAAAAUCUGCGUAUUAGACAUAAUUCUAUGUAGAAAUGAACAUUCAAAUGCUGAUUGAUUUUUGUGAGGACUUUUUGCAGGGAGUGGGGGCUGUUGCAAAAUGAUUUGGAAAGGUGGUGAACUGAAUAUAGGAAAAAUGAGAGUCGGAGAGAAACUAAAACUAACACAUGUGUCUGUCCUUAGCCUUGAGUGUGAGCUUCCUUAUCCCCAUUCUCUAUCUUUCGCUAAUCACACUUAAUGCACAUUAUGAAAUAAAUUCCUUUUAGAAGGCAUACUUAUCAAUAACAUGUAGAGACACAAAAAUAACUCUGUUCAGAUGAAAGCUAAGGACCAACAUGUCACCCAGCAAUUGUAAUAGGGAAAUCUAAAAGCAAGGUUGCCAUGGAGAUUAGUUCUCUGGCCUCUGAUCCAACAGGUUAAAGCCAUUUAGUUCAACAAUAUGCAAUCCACAGUGGAUGCCAUGCAGCUGUCAAGUGCUUUGCCUCCGCUAAUGGGAAAAUAACUUAAAAAUUAACAGCAUGCUUAACUUUAAAUCAGAUGUAUGGAAAUCACUUUGAAAUAGUUGAAAUAGGUGACCUGUAGGGCUGGUGCUUUUACUGAAAGACUGUAGAUUAGAGCUGUGUAAAACAACCAUAUCUCUUCAAUAACGGUAGUUACGGCAUUUGCUUUAAUUUUGGGAAAGGCUUGAGAUUUAAAAAAUAUAAAACACAUGUGAUUCCUCAUUUGACCAUUUUUUGCCUUCCUCAAGAGUACCAAGGAACAGUUUUGUGGUGUUAAAAACCAGGGUGUGUGUGUGUGAAUUGAUGGGUGAAUUGCUAUGUUGGCUUUGGCUACAUUGGAACUGAGAAUGUUCAGGAGUACCCAAAGGGACUUGUGUAAUAACAUACAUAGGAUGUUAAAUUCAAUUACAAUUUGGUUUCCACAAAGACCCAUGUUUUGUUUUGCUAUCUGAUGUGGCUGAAGCAAAUGCGAUGAACUACAUAAGUAGAUUUGUAAUUAACUUCAGUGAAUUCUGCAUCAAAAACAAUCCAGAAAAUGUAAUUAUUUACAUAAUAAUUUGUGGACUCAAGGAUUGAUGGUACUGAAUCCCGCUCAAAUUUGCUUGGGUGGUUUCUGUUCCUGACCUUGGAUGUACAUGUGAAUUGCAGCCAUUUCUGCCUGACAUGAGUGAGCCAGCAAUAAAUCACAGGCAUAAUGAGCACAGGAACUAAUCCCUGGUAGUUCUUGCCCUAUGGAUCAGUUGCUGAGACUAAAGGUCCCUAUCUCCCCACAGCUGUCUAUGUCUUCUCCUGCUAAGGGCUUUCCCCAAGCAAUCAGAGACUAGGCCUGCAUGCUUGUCUAUGCUCCUCCUACUUCAUGCCUCUUCUGGUUCCAAGAGACCGUGGGUAGGGACUCUUCAUCAGCCUGACUCAUCUCUGUCUCUUGACAUCCCCUGCUUUGGCCUUUGCCUCUGAUUCCAGACUUCUCUCUACCAUAGCCUCUCCCAGCUCCUUAAGCCCUGCCUGAUACAUCUUCAGCUUCCCACACCUUCUCUUCCCAGUCUUCUCCCUUUUCUGCCUCUGUCCACUCAUGGUUGUCCCACCACUACUCCACGGAGUCUGAGCCUCCUUCCUUUGGUGGUUCCCCACCUGGUUGCUCCCACCAUUCCUCUGUGUCCAACCAGUCCAUGACAUUGCCCCAUUUCCAAGGGAGUUCUGCAACACCACUAUAUUAUAUAUGAGUGAGACAAGGAAGCCAGCACUGGUUGAGAUUGUAGGUAAAGGUAAAAGGUAAAGGACCCCUGACCGUUAGGUUCAAUCGCGGACGACUCUGGGGUUGCGGCGCUCAUCUCGCUUUACAGGCCAAGGGAGCCAGCGUUUGUCUGCAGACAGUUUUUUCGGGUCAUGUGGCCAGCAUGACUAAGCCGCUUCUGGUGCAACAGAACACCAAAACCAGAGCAGCGCCCGGAAACACCCUUUACCUUCCUGCUGGAGCGGUAUCUCUUUAUCUACUUGCACUUUUUGGCGUGCUUUCAAACUGCUAGGUUGACAGGAGCUGGGACUGAGCAACAGGAGCUCACCCCGUUGCAGGGAUUUGAACCGCCGACCUUCUGAUCGGCAAGCCCAAGAGGCUCAGUUGUUUAGACCACAGCGCCAUGCAGCUUUGUGAAUCUUUAUGGAGUAGACGGAACCCCUUUGUACUUUUCUGUGAAGUUGCUUCCAUUGCUGAGGAGGCAACUGGCUUUUUAACUUCCUCAGCAUACAGCAUGAACUGGAAACUUCAGGGGAAUUUCUAGCUCUCUAGCAUUUUCUCUCCUUAUUUUGAAGGGGUUGGAGGUUGGCUGAGAAUGCAAACCAGGGUCCAGUGGUGACCGCUUGGUCAUUGUUUAAACCCCACCAACCUGAAUAAUUUUUAUCAGGUGAUUUCUGGACAGAUGCUUAAGUGGGAAGGCUUUGAGGGCAAGGUGGAAGAAAAGGCACAUUUAAUUGUUUAAAAAUGACAAUUCCUAGGGCUUUUGUGUUUUAGCACACAUUGUCUUCGAUAAGCUGCUUUAUAAUUUCACAGUGACAGUUAAAUUGAGGCACCAUGUUACCUUAGUUACGCAGUAUACUUCAAACAAUAAUAGCUUAAAUAGCAGCAUGAUUAUAUGACAGCAGGCAAGGAACCAUAAAGUGACCUUCUAGAUGUAAAUGCAGAUCAAAUAGUUGGGCAGGGGGAUGUGUGUAGGAAGGAAUUACUGACAUACUUAGGCACAGAUACCUUCUUGGGUGUAGAUGGCAUGCAUUUCACAAAGAGCCAUGAAAAAUAGUGCUGUUCUGUAGAUGUAAAUGUAAAAGAGCUUGUGCUGUGGUCCACUUAGUGCAUUAACAUUUAUUUAUGUAAAAUAUUUUUCAGCCUGUCCUUCACCACAACAUGAUUUCAGGAUGGGGAACAGUGAACAUUUAAAACAAUAAGCCAAAGCACAAUUAUGAACAAGAAAAGUGGGUGAAAUUAACAAAGAAUCCAGUAACAAUAAUGAUAAACACACACACACAAGCCUGCUGGAAGAGGAGAGCUUUCAAGUGAUGCUGAAAACACAUCAGAAUUAAAACUAGCCAUACAUCAAAAGGGAAUGUUCUCCAUAAGUGAGGCAGAGUAAGCUGUCUCCCAGGAUUGAACUUAGUACUUUUUACAUGCAAAGAAAGUAUUCUGCCACAGAAGAGUGACAGCCCUUUCCCUAGCAGCCUUUCUCAAACUUGAGUUCCCAGAUGUUCUGGGGCUACAACUUCCAUCAUUCCCAUCAUCAACUCCCAUCAUUCCAUGGUCGGCAGUCAGAGAUGAUUGGAGUUGUAGUCCAAUAACAUCUGGGGACCGGCUUCCAGAUCUGCUCUGCCUUAGUGGAGGCAGCUCCCACAACAGCAGGAGAUCUUUGGUGAAGGGAAAAACAAGGAUGAUUGAAGGUAAUGAUCCUUGCAAAUUCCCCCCAGGGGCAGGGGGAACGGGCUUCACUCACAGUUCAUUUAGCUACCUGGUUCUCACUCUGGCAUGGAAUGUGGGAGGCAGGGAGGCGCUGAGUGCAAAAGCACUUCACUGGCUGAAAACUCUCCAAUGGCGCCAUUAAGAAGCAGAGGUUCUCCUGUUAAUUAGAGUUUAAUUGAUUAAAGUACAGGCGCAUGCUAGAAGAGAUGAUAUAAUAAACUGGGGAACAAACCAGCUUGCAAGGACUUUAAAGUUUGAACUUGCGAUAAGACUUCAUUUGAUGCAAAAGAUGGUGAGGAGGGGAGGGGAGUCCACAGUUUCUUCUCUACAUUUAUGAUUUGGCAACCCUCUUCUGAAUGUUAGUUCAAAUUAUAUUUGUACAAGUGAGGAUGUUAGAAAUUGGUUUAUAAAUAUGGAAUAUAACAUCAAAUGGAACUGUGUGUGUAAAAAAGGGGAAAAGGGAGGGAAGCUCCAUUUUGCAAAAGGUUUACAAUGGAAACUUAGAGCUGACUCUUCCCAAUCUUUUAUUAUUUACGAAGUGACUUGAAUAACACUAAGAGGACUUGGAAUUUAAUUUAAUUGGAAGUAUAAUUGCUCAUAUAUCUUCAGCUGGAAGAGGGAUGAAGGGAGUCUGUGAACUGCCAAGGAACUGAUAAGGUUCUUUGUUGAGUCAUCUGCAGUUUGACAGACCGCUCUAAUUCCUAGCCUGAGAGGAAAAAUGGUGACAACAGUUGUUGUUUUCCUGGGACAAAGCAACUUUUGCAGCUGUUGUUAAAGUUCUCGGUGCAAAACAACAAAGUACGGGUUGGAGCAAAGGAGAAAUUUUUGGAACAACAAUGGGAUAUCACCUCUGCCCAAGGCAUGGCAUAUAACAGCAACAAUCAGGGGAACAAAAGACAUAACAUCAUACAUGGACAGGAAGAUACACCAUGGGCAGAAUAAUUGCCACACACAGGAAGAAUACAGAUAUAGUUUGAGUUCCUCACUUGCAGUUUUAUAAAUUAUUUAAUGUGUCAACACGAAUAGAAGUUAUUAAUAUUGCAGUUGUUGUAUAAGGGAUUAUUAUUAUGACCGGAAUGUAAUGGAAAUUAAUAAGAUUUUGGAACGCAGAAAUAAAUAAAAUAAUCAAACCAUCAGCAUGCGGGAGGCCACUUUAGCUAAAUUAUAUAAUUUGGCAUUUGAAUGAUUGGUAUUACUAAUUGUAUUAUAAAUUGGUAUUGUUAUAAUGAGACUAUUAUUGGACUGUACAGUGGUACCUCGGGUUACAUAUGCUUCAGGUUACAUACGCUUCAGGUUACAGAUUCCGCUAACCCAGAAAUAGUGCUUCAGGUUAAGAACUUUGCUUCAGGAUGAGAACAGAAAUCGUGCUCUGGCGGCACGGCGGCAGUGGGAGGCCUCAUUAGCUAAAGUGGUGCUUCAGGUUAAGAACAGUUUCAGGUUAAGAACGGACCUCUGGAACGAAUUAAGUACUUAACCCGAGGUACCACUGUAAUUGAAAACUAAUAAAUAUUUUUAUUUAAAAAAACACACAUCCAGGGACCCAAGUUUUAGAAAAACUGUGAAUACUUCUGUUCACGGUUCUAGCCAGCCAGUCAUGUCCUCCUUCAGGAGAAUAUGGGCUGAAGCAACCCAUUAUACUAAGCCCUGUUUUGUGUUUUUCUUUUCCAACUGACAUUUUGCAUUCAGUGCAAGUUUCCUCAAUCCUCACUGGGCAGUGGUGUUUAAAUCUGUUACUCCACAGUAUUCACAAUAUCCGCUUUUUAACUUUUGCAAACUUUGGGGCUCUCCUAAGGAUGCUGAUGCCCCCCUCUUGUUUCUUGGGGGGUCCCAUUUUGGCUCCAGUCAUAUCACCUUGAAACUCACCACCUGAGCUCACUAAUAAAGGGAGUGAUAUGCCCCUAUGUUUUGCUUUUGCAUCCAACAAUAUAUCUGAAAAGUCAUUCAAGGCCAUUCAAAGUUUUCCUGAUUUUGCAUAUGUAGGUCUGAGAACCAACCAAUUUUACUUGAACAGAAGCAGCAGUAUCUCUUAGAAGCCUUUACUGGGUAACAUAAGCUAAUCUUUAAUAAUAAUAAAUCUCACAUAAUUGGGUUCUUCAGCUUCUUGUGCUUAGCCAGCCUACAGAUUUUUCUAUUUGUAGAUAAAGUAAACACUACAAAAUGGAGAAAGGUGAAGAAUUAUACUGAGGAGAAAUAUUACACACACACACUUCUACAUCUUUCAUUCAAGCAAGAACAUUGAUUUCAGCGUGUGCAACUUCAAAAUUCAAUUUAAUUUCCCAUUGGUACUUACAUUAGUAGAUAAUGAUUUUGAACCUCUUCCAAGGAGAAUUUUCUUCCGCCACAGGUUUGUUUUGGUGCUAUUUAUUGCUUCAUCAAAUAUGUUGUUCAGAGAUAUUACACCACAACAUGAGAAUCACUGCUUCCACUCACAAUCUCUUUCCACCCCACCUCCCAUUUUACAUUAAGUGAUAGUUUUGAGCAGUGAGGUGGUUUCUGUGAAUCCUUCACUAAUGCCUUUCCAGAAAAUGUUUUCUUUGCUCCCUAAAUUAUUGAUUGGGCUAUUAAAGGUCUGAAAUAAAACUUUAAUUAGUCAGUAGAAGCUUUGCAAAGUAUGACCUGCUAGAAUCAUGCGAAUGUAUGUGAGCAGAGAUACUCAUCUGACUAUAGUACUUACCCCCAGGCAAAUGAAAAACACUCAGCCCUGAGAGCAAGAAAACAAAGAUCAGUUGCAGAUUUGUAUUGCUUUGGCAAAGAUGCUUUUUAGGUGCUUGAGGAAGGUGCAUUUAUAAAGUGCAACGAGAGAUUAUCUAACUCAUUUGCUCUGAUGCUUUGCAUUUGUGUUUUGCAACUGCUGUUGGAGUACACUUUCCUGGUUUUCCUGGUCAUGGCCGAUACAUUCAGUUUAUGUAAUCUGAACACUUAUGAAUACCUAUAAAGUUGCAAAAUCUGGCCUUUUAUGUUCAUUUCCUAGACUUGUUUACUCAAAACCUUGCUCUAUAAUUCUGCAGAAAGCACUUUUUGUCCCCAAACGGAGUGCUGUAAGAGGCUGAGUCUGAGGCCCAUGUGGGAGAACUAGAAAAAAAAGCUGAGCAUAUAGCAUCAAUCCUGACUUGACUGCAUUGGCUGCCAAUUAGUUUCCAAGUCCAAUUUAAAGUGUUGGUUUUGACCGACAAAGCCCUAAACGGCUCAGGACUACAGUACCUCAAGGACUGCCUUUCCACGUAUGAACCGACCUGGGUCCUGAAAUUACCAUCCGAGGCCCUUCUUUGUGAGCCUUCUCCAUUUGAAAUCUGGAGGGUGGCAACACGAGGGCGAGUCUUUUCUGUGGAGGCUCCCCACUUGUGGAAUGCUCUCCCCAGGGAGACUUGCCCGGCCCUUUGUUACAUAUCUUUAGGCGCCAGGUGAAAACAUUCCUGUUCUCCCAGGCCUUUGUCUAAUUAAUCUAUGGCCUUUUAUGGUGCUGGAGGAGACUCUUGAGAGUCCCAUGGACUGCAAGAAGAUCAAACCUAUCCAUUCUGAAGGAAAUCAUCCCUGAGUGCUCACUGGAAGGACAUAUCCUGAAGCUGAGGCUCCAAUACUUUGGCCACCUCAUGAGAAGAGAAGACUCCCUGGAAAAGUCCCUGAUGCUGGGAAAGAUGGAGGGCACAAGGAGAAGGGGACGACAGAGGACGAGAUGGUUGGACAGUGUUCUCGAAGCUACCAGCAUGAGUUUGACCAAACUGCGGGAGGCAGUGGAAGACAGGAGUGCCUGAUCCAUGGGGUCAUGAAGAGUCGGACACGACUAAACGACUAAACAACAACAACAUGGCCUUUCAAACUCUGUGUGUGGAGUCACUGUUUUUGUUUGUUACUAUGGUAUGUAUUUUUGUGUUUAUAUUGUUACAAAAGCUGGGUGUGUGCCAUAGCUGUCAACCCUUUUCUUGCGAGGAAUCCUAUUUGGAAUAAGGGAAUUUCCCUUAAAAAAGGGGAAACGUUGACAGAUAUGGUGUGUGCCCCUCUCUUUGCCAAGUGGUGGCAAGAGCCCAUGGGAUCGAAGACACACACACACAUGGUCUGUGUCCCUUUGGAGACUGGAAGACAGAGUGGAGACUGCCAUGCUUUAUUCACCUAUUUACACCUUCAGUCUGCGUGGAGUCUGGAUCUUACGACAGGCACAUUGCCAGAGGCAGCAGUGCUGGCCACCUUUAGGCUGCUUCCUUCAAGGAUGAAUCCCAGCUUGUCUCCCUCCUCCUUCCUCCCAGAAACCUCUGCUCCAAAACACACCCAUCACAUUGGCACCCUUCAAACCCCUGUCUCUGUUCACACCUCAGGGCAGGGGCGAAACCCUCUUGUACUGGAAAAUACCCUCAAUGGGCCUUCACGGCUCUACUUGACCAGGCUGGUUUGCAUAAGGCACCCCAGGAAUUCCCUGUAUUGCACAGCUGUUCAAUUGGUUCCUUAAUCCAUAUCCCAAUCAAUCAAUAUCCUAAUAUUUAUUCAUUCCUAGGGUUUAUUAAUUUCUAGGGCUUACCCUAAAUCUAUAACAUUAUUGUUAAAUGCCCUGUUAUCUUUGGAUGAAGGUUGGUGUAGAAAUUUAAUAAAUAAUAAUAAUAAAAAAAUAACAGUUGACUGUUGUGCUGAGUUCCUCUUCUGUGACAGGAAAGAAUCACACAGAUUGAGACUAUGAGAAAAUGACUGUACAUGACACACGGCCUCUGGACUCAUCUUUAUCCAGUUCUCAACCUGGAUAAAGCAUGGGAGAAGCAAACAGUAUCCCUUUCCUAAAACUGUUCUAUGACUAAGCCAAUGUGUCCUUCUCCUCGUUCAUACAAACCAUGUGUGGUCCAAAUGGAAAGAAAUUUUGCUCUUUAUUUGAGGGGGUGGGUGGGUUUUGAAGUGAUGCACACUUAAGGACAGGCAUUACACAACCAUUUGACUAUAUGCUGUAAAGGUAAAAAAAGGUAAAGGACCCCUGGACGGUCAAAGGUGAGGUGACUAUGGGGUUGCAGCACUCAUCUUGCUUUCAGGCUGAUGGAGCUGGCUUUGUCCACAGACAGCUUUCUGGGUCAUGUGGCCAGCAUGACUAAACCACUUCUGGUGCAACGGGACACCGUGAUGGAAACCAGAGUGCACAGAAAUGCUGUUUACCUUCCUGCUACAGUGGUACCUAUUUAUCUACUUGCACUGGCAUGCUUUCGAACUGCUGGGUUGGCAGGAACUGGGACAGAACAACGGGAGCUCAAUCCGUUGUGGGGAUUCGAACCGCCGACUUUCCAACUGGCAAGCCCAAGAAGCUCAGUGAUUUAGACCAUAGUGUGACCUGUGUCCCUCGCUAUAUACUGUAUAUAAAGUUGAAUUUUUAAUAAAAACUGUUCUGUAGUCUCUCUUUUGCUUUGAAAUGUGAAUUACAAAACAGUACUAAUAAGCUGACUAAUAAAUCAUUGCUUUAAGCAAUGGUGCAUUAUGAGAAAUGAGUUAAAUUAUACCACAAACUCUAUUGUUUUCCCCCACAAACAUAAAUACAUGAUACAAUGCAUCUGAUUUCUCAGGAAACUGGAGAUAGCUUCAAAGUGGGGGUGGAACUAAAGCACUAUUAUAGACACACACACACACACACACACACACACACAGGAGUAUUUGGCUCAGAUCACCCUUGACACACCAUUACAUUCAUACGUCUAUCUCACAUUCAUAGGAUUUGGGUUUGAUCGAGUCUUCGUCAUGGCUUAGGGUAGACCCACUGAAGUUGAUGGAGCUGAAGUCCCAUUGGUUUUGUUGGGUGUGCUCUAAUGAUGACUAAGUCUGCAGCCUUUGUUCCUCCCUGUCUUUCCUGGUCAUACCCUUCCUUUGGCUUCUGCCAUGUCUACAUCUCCUGCCUGUUCCUCAUAGUCCUUAAGUCCACCUAGUUUCCCUUGCUUGCCUGCAGUGCCUGCCAUGCACCUAAGCCUUGAUCCCUACUUGCACUCAUUGCAGGGCAUGGUCUGAAGGCAUCUGAGGGACUAUCUUGCUGAAGCUUAGGAGCCCCAGGUCUGCUCACUUCCGAAAGGGCUAACCUCUUGGGAAAAGCAGAUAUGCUGCUUGGGGUUCCAUGGUGGAAGAAUGAUGAUCUAGAAAUGUAAGAAAAUAAAUAAAUUGAACUGAAUAUGUUGGAGUACUUGGACUAGAAACAGUUACUGUUUACCAAAAAGGUAUUUGUGUGUGUGUGUAGAUGUUUCUUCCUUGUUGCCAUGGCAGCUGCUACUCCAGCUCUCCUUGACUCUUUUAAACACCUGUUAAUCCUCUGACCUUUUCUACAAAUGGGAUCACCUGCCGUGAGGGCAGACAGUUUGCAAAAGGAUGGUAUCCUUCACUCUUUGGAGAACGGCAAUUCCUGCUGGGCUCCUGCCCCUGUUUCUAAUUAUUUCGUUGGCAUUACAUCUUGAGGGUAUUGCCAAUUAAUUUCCCAGAAAGAUCCUCUCUUUAUAAGUCAAUGGAAAAUUGUCUCAACAAUUUUUUUUCUUUCUCAUAAUAAGGGAAGUCUCCCUGUCUCUUCAGUGCCACAUCCUUGAACGCGAAAGCAUUGUCGGGAAUGGAUUUUCAGGACAUCCUAAUAUUGGGUGUGCUAUGGAUUGCUAAACAUGAUGGCUUUGAAACCUCUAUAUAUAACUGGCAUAUUUCUCCAAAAACGCCUAAACGUACUUGAAAAUGUGCGGCAAUAUCAGCUGAAAUCUUAGAUACCGAAGAGCUAUGCUGAAUAAAAUUUAUGGUGGUUGACUAUGGGGGGUUUAAUGUCUCAGCUGGAUCCUGAGGCCUCUUAAUGAAUAGGAAAAUUAGGUAAAAUUCUGCAAAUUUUCAUCCUUAAUACGAGUGACAGAAUCUAAUAUAACACCAGUCCUGAAAGACCUACAUUGGCUCCCAGUACGUAUCUGAGCACAAUUCAGAGUGUUGGUGCUGACCUUUAAAGCCCUAAACGGCCUCAGUCCUGUAUACCUGAAGGAGCAUCUCCACCCCCAUCGUUCUGCCCGGACACUGAGGUCCAGCACCGAGGGCCUUCUGGCAAUUCUUUCACUGUGAGAAGCAAAGUUACAGGGAACCAGGCAGAGGGCCUUCUUAAGAGUAGCGCCCGCCCUGUGGAACGCCCUCCCAUCAGAUGUCAAGGAGAUAAACAACUAUCUGACUUUUCAAAGACAUCUGAAGGCAGCCCUGUUUAGAGAAGCUUUUAAUGUUUGAUGUUUUAUUGUGCUUUUAAUUCUGCUGGGAGCCACCCAGAGUGGCUGGGGAAACCCAGCCAGAUAGGUGGGGAAUGAAUGAACAAAUAAAUAAAUAUUUUCCUGGAACAGAAUUUGGAUGACCUUUACCUAGAUUUUUUAAAGGCAUAUCCUUCUUUAUUGUGCAGGUUUUUGUGUGUGUGUGGUUUUUUUUUUUAAGCCAGAAAGCACAGUAAUCAGUGUGGAAGUCAGUUCCUGAGACCACAACCCCAUACACACUUCCCUGGGAGUAUGUCCCAUUAGACUCAGAAAUGGUUUGCAGCUAACAUGAAGCCAAACCGUGGCUUAGUAUGAAUGUGAAAGCUCCCAGAGAGGAGAUCAUGUCUGUUGCACUCCUACCAUCCUGCUUGCCCUGCACUGCUGUGAAUUAAGUCAUGGUUUGGCUUGCUGUGUCAUCCAAUCACAAACUCAUGGUUUGUCUCACUCCAGACAAACCAUGAGCUGUAACCAAUAUUUUUUUUCUUGGCUUUACAGCAGCUGGUUGUUUGAAGUCAGCAGUAGCAGGACUGGAGGAGGGGCAAAGUGGCCACAAUUCCCCCCCCCAUAGUGCAAGCCAGAUUAGUAAAUGUGCCUUAUUCACUUUGACUUAGCUAUAAAAAUAAUAAUAUAAUAAUAAUAAUUUAUUAUUUAUACCCCGCCCCUCUGGCUGGGUUUCCCCAGCCACUCUGGGCGGCUUCCAACAAAAUAUUAAAAUACAAUAGUCUAUUAAACAUUAGAAGCUUCCCUAAAGAGGGCUGCCUUCAGAUGUCUUCUAAAAGUCUGGUAGUUGUUUUUCUCUUUGACAUCUGGUAGGAGGGUGUCCCACAGGGCGGGUGCCACUACCGAGAAGGCCCUCUGCCUGGUUCCCUGUAACUUGGCUUCUCGCAGCGAGGGAACUGCCAGAAGGCCCUUGGCACUGGACCUCAGUGUCCGGGCAGAACGUUGCGGGUAGAGACGCUCCUUCAGGUAUACUGGACCGUGGCCAUUUAGGGCUUUAAAGAUUAGUAUCAACACUUUGAAUUGUGUUUGGAAAUGUACUGGGAGCCAAUGUAGUUCUUUCAAGACCAGUGUUAUGUGGUCUCGGCGGCUGCUCCCAGUCACCAGUCUAGCUGCUGCAUUCUGGAUUAGUUGUAAUUUCCGGGUCACCUUCAAAGGUAGCCCCACAUAGAGCGCAUUGCAGUAGUCCAAGCAAGAGAUAACCAGAGCAUGCACCACUCUGGCGAGACAGUCUGAAGGCAGGUGGGGUCUCAGCCUGUGUACUAGAUGGAGCUGGUAGACAGCUGCCCUGGACACAGAAUUGACCUGCACCUCCAUGGACAGCUGUGAGUCCAGAAUGACUCCCAGGCUGCGUACCUGGUCCUUCAGGGGCACAGUUACCCCAUUCAGGACCAGGGAGUCCUCCACACCUGCCCGCCUCCUGUCCCCCAAAAACAGUUCUUCUGUCUUGUCAGGAUUCAAUCUCAAUCUGUUAGCCACCAUCCAUCCUCCAACCGCCUAUGGGCAGGCUUGUGCUAGGAGCUCCCUGUCUACAGCUGUGUGCUCUGUAUUCAAAUUUCUGUUGCACAAUAGCUCCAACCUUAAAGACUUUCCAACAUCUGCCCUUUUGUGUUUCCUACGCUAUCAGCAGACCACCUUAUCAGCAAAAUAACAGGAACAAUAUGUUUUCCGUGCACUUAAUUAAUUAUGUUUUCAUAGUCAACAUCAGAUAACUUAAAUUGCAGUGAAAACAAAGAAUUUUAAGUAGGAUAUUUUACACAGUGUGAUGGAGGAAAGGAAGCCCUUAAGCAGUUUAUUUAAUGAAGUUUCAAAUUCUUAAUUUUGUUAAAAUCCCACAGGCACAUAGCAUAAGAGACACUAAUGUGAGCCACUAUGUAAUUAGGGCUAAUAACUAGUCUUUGAUGUGGGGGAGGGGCGGUAGGAGAAGAACUGCGGAUCCAGCUGGCCCUCUUACACCUGCAAGAAACAGAUGAUUUCCUCUGCUGAAAACUAACAGGCUAAUGACAGUAUGGAAUUAAACGAAAACAUUAAUUAAUUCCCUGUAACAGAACGCAAGGAAGGAGACCACCAAUUAAGAGGGGUUGUUGUGUGCAACUUAAAUUACGCUAACUGCUCAAAAAUCUUGCAUCGGAUGAGUUGUGUGAAUUGUGACAUUUCCCUCAUUUGUUCUGAAGUAAGAUUUUAUUUAAGUUUUUCAUACUACAAUAAAAAUAAACAGCUACAAAAAAAAAAUACAAAGAGAAUAAAUAGAAUGGGAAUCCUCUCUUAAGGGUAGUUCUUAGCCGUUUCCACCCACAGAAGGUCCCUCUCAGCUCUCACCUGGGAUAUUUCCUUUCUCCUCCCAGAUUUCCCUGCCCCCCCAACUCCUCCACCAACCAUCUCCCUCAUUGGUGUGUUCGGGGCCGUAUUUACCCGGGAGCCGAAUUCUGGGGGGCGUCAAAUGUAUACCUACUGUAUACCGGUUCCUCUCUAUCGGCGGUGGUGAAAAGCAAUGGAGUGAAAGUCCCUGCCCCCUUCCUCUGUUGCUCUGUUAAUCCGUAGCGUCAAAUAUUUCCGAUGAGUCAGGAAACAAAAGCAGUUUUUCUUCUGCUGCGUCGUUCUUAAAGGUAAAGGUAAAGGGACCCCUGACCAUUAGGUCCAGUCGUGACCGACUCCGGAGUUGCGGUGCUCAUCUCGCUUUAUUGGCCGAGGGAGCUGGCGUACAGCUUCCGGGUCAUGUGGCCAGCAUGACUAAGCCGCUUCUGGCGAACCAGAGCAGCGCACGGAAACGCCAUUUACCUUCCCGCCGGAGCGGUACCUAUUUAUCUACUUGCACUUUGACGUGCUUUUGAACUGCUAGGUUGGCAGGAGCAGUGACUGAGCAACGGGAGCUCACCCCGUCGUGGGGAUUCGAACCGCCGACCUUCUGAUCGGCAAGUCCUAGGCUCUGUGGUUUAACCCACAGCGCCACCCGCGUCCCUGUGUCAUUGUUAAAGGUGAGCUAUUCCCCCCCCCAAAAAAAGGUCAAUGUUCUUUCGACAAGAGACCUGUGGGCCCUUGGCACUAAAGUUUCUAAUAAAAGUUCUGUAUAUGUCCUAAAGAGAUAUAGGGAAGGAGGCUUUUGUUGACUUUAGGACAAUAUUGAAAUGAAAUUCUUGUUCUGGUGUUUAAUAUUUCUCUUUUGAGACUGAAAAAGUAUCCUUACUUAUAUUACUGUGAAGUGCUCUUGUGGCCCACUUAUGAUGUAAUUUUUUUAUUUCCAUGAUCCCAUUCAUUGAGUGGAUGCUACGGGUGGGGCCAGCCUAGGUAUUAUUAUUAUUAUUUUAUUGAAUUUAUAUACCACUCUAUACCCAGAGGUCUCAGGGCGGCUCACAGAAAAGAUCAACAUAAAAACCACAAUAUAAAUAAUCAAAAUAAAAACAACAACCCAAUAACACUCCCUCCAAAAGAGCCAAAUUUUAAAAGGAUAUAGGUAGCCUAGGUAGGACAAUUUCCCCCACUCUCCAAUUACGCUUCAAGCAUUCAAUUGGAAGAAUGUGUGUAAUCCCAUUUUUCACUUUUUCUGGUUCAUGUCUGUUUGUAACAAUUAAGCUGCAAGAAUAUUUGGAUGACACACUUUGUAUGGAUUACCCUUCCUUGCCCCGACUAUCUCUGCAAACAUGAGGUCUAGAAACCUAACAUGGAAAACUCCCUGCAUUUAACCUGCAGACCAUAUAAUAUCUGUUUAUGAGUUAAAUCUUUGUUAUCACUAAAUUCAGCGAAGUGUACUCAACUGUACCACAGUAAUUUAGAAGCCGUGUUUACCUUUGGAUGUGCUUUAACACUGAUUAUUUUUCAGCUUCAUGAUCUUCUGACUGCAGAGUAAAAACAAUUUUAUACAUUUGUUUUCCCAUUUUUACCAUGGCCAAUUUACUUUUAAUUAUACUGAUGCUUUAAUAGGGGAUUUCCACAAUGCUGAAUAGACAUGCCAAAUAUCCACCAAUCAAUAGAUACCAUAUUGGCCUGAAUAUAAGCCUCACUCCCCCCCCCAAAAAAUUCCGACUGUGAAAAGUUAAAGUGCGGCUUAAAUUCGUGACCUUACAAAAAUUGCCUUUUACAAAUAUCGCUGCUGAAACAGACGUAUGGCAAAAUGGAACAAAAAAAUGUUUUAUUGCUGAUUUGCGAGCUUGAGACUGUUCAUUUGCCAAUUACGGGUGUGAGUGCCUGCGGAGUUGUAACAAUUAAAUAGCGAUUUGCAAUUUUAGCCAUUGUACGGUAACUUUUGUGGGCUUGCAAGAUCAAAGGCUUAAAUUGGCUCGGAGUUACAGUUCUACCAAUUGCAGCGAUUUUUCAGCCUGUAACCCAAUUUUAAGGGAGAGGCUUAUAUUUGGGUACAGUGGUACCUCAGGUUACAAAUACCUUGGGUUACAAACACUUCGGGUUACAGACCGCUAACUUGGAAGUAGUACCUCGAGUUAAGAACAGUGGUGCCUCGCAAGACGAAAUUAAUCCGUUCCGCGAGUCUCUUCGUCUUGCGGUUUUUUCGUCUUGCGAAGCACGUCUAUUAGCGGCUUAGCGGCUAUUAGUGGCUUAGUGGCUUAGCGGCUAUUAACGGCUUAGCGGCUUUAAGAAAAAGGAAACAAACUCGCAAGAACUCGCAAGACGUUUCGUCUUGCGAAGCAAGCCCAUAGGGAAAUUCGUCUUGCAGAACGACUCAAAAAACGCAAAACCCUUUCGUCUAGCGAGUUUUUCGUGCUUCGCAAGACGAAAAAUUCGCUAGACGAAAAAACUUGCGGAACAAAUUAAUUUCGUCUUGCGAGGCACCACUGUAGUUUGCUCAUAUAUCGGAUACAUACUGCCCUGGGCUCUUUCUGAGGAAAUGUGAUUUAUAAAUAAGCAAAUAAAAUAAAAACAAUUAAAGUAAUGAACAUGAGAAGUUGGAGCUACAGAAACCAUCAAAACUUCAAAUUUUUGGCAUUAGAGGGAAAACUGGCAGAUCACCCACAAGCAAUUUUUUUUGUAGGGUUUGCAAGUAAUUUAGGGAUUUUGAAGGAAACAAGUCUAAUUUUGAUAAUAAGGUCUGCAUUUUCAAAAUAAAAAAUAACUCGAUUCUAUCUUUCAAGACAAGUUCUUCUCUCCCUCUUUUCAGACUGUAGCAUGCUGUGAUAUUCCCCUUAUUGAAUAUGCCAUCACUCCUUCCAGUUUCCCUUGUGUUUUGCUGGAUUCUACUGCUUCUAGGCUAUAUAUUACUGCUUAUUCCCUUAAAACAGUAUCAUUUCUUGGCUGUUAUGAAAGUGUGUCAUUAUUUUUAGACUUGCUAAUUGAACACGCACAUGAGGUUGAUUUUCUUAAAAUGUUCAUCGCUCUGCUAUAUGUGUUGGCAGGGAAAUGCAGUCUCUUAACUUGCAUGAGGCUGGAAGCAAACGAUGCUCUGGUUUCAUCUGCAUGGCAAUAGAUACCAUUCAGAUUAGCCAUUUCGGCAUUGGUUUAGGGACAAUGGAAUUUUUCUGAUAUUUCUCAGUAGAAUUUUGCACAUUGCUAUUUAGGGCACAAUCCACUUAGAGUUAAACAAUUCAAGAUCCAUUAAUUUGAAAUGUGUGAUAUUUUAAAAUGAAAUCUUAUAUCUUUCUAUGGAGAAAUAAGGGAUGCAGGUGGCAUUGUGGUUUAAACCACAGAGCCUAGGACUUGCCGAUCAGAAGGUUGGUGGUUCGAAUCGCCGCGACGGGUGAGCUCCCGUUGCUCGAUCCCAGUUCCUGCCCACCUAGCAGUUCGAAAGCACAUCAAAGUCAAGUAGAUAAAUAGGUACCACUCUGGUGGGAAGGUAAAUAGUGUUUCCAAGCGCUGCUCUAGUUCGCCAGAAGCAGCUUAGUCAUGCUGGCCACAUGACCCGGAAGCUGUCUGCGGACAAACGCCAGCUCCCUCGGCCUAUAGAGCGAGAUGAGCGCCGCAACCCCAGAGUUGUCCGCGACUGGACCUAAUGGUCAGGGCUACCUUUAAGUCCCAAAAUUCAAGCAAUUUCUCUCUCUCUCUCCCAGGUAAGUGGGUAUAAACUACAAUCUGAUACAGGCUACCUGUCUUUUUAGUAAGACUUUUGAGCAGAAACGUUAUGCAGGCAAUCACCAGUUUGCAUGGGGGUUGCGUUCCGGGUCAUUAUCUGUAACGCUCCCCACCCUGGCCCUGCUCCCAUCAUGCUCUGUUAUGCCUCUAUUACGCCUCUUCUGGGUCUGAAAAUGUCCUGUGCGUGCACGGUCAAGCAAUCUUUGAAUGCGUGCAAAAUGGGGGUUGCCUGUAUAUCGCCUUAACUUUGCAAUUUAAAUCAAGGAGUUGUUGAAGUGGUUACAUCUGUCUGUAUUGUGCCAAUAGAAUGAUUCUUUCUGUGCCAGCAGCCAGGGUCGGAUGUGGUGACAAUAAUUAUGCAUGCACUGAAUGGGUAACAAAUGAGGGGGGGAAAACAUUUUAUUGGUUAUGGCUCACAAUUUGGUGUGAUGUAAAGCAAGGAGCAGGGACGCGGGAGGCGCUGUGGGUUAAACCACAGAGCCUAGGACUUGCCGAUCAGGUCAGCGGUUCGAAUCCCCGCGAUGGGGUGAGCUCCUGUUGCUUGGUCCCUGCUCCUGCUAACCUAGCAGUUCGAAAGAGUGUCAAAGUGCAAGUAGAUAAAUAGGUACCGCUUUGGCGGGAAGGUAAACGGCGUUUCCGUGCGCUGCUCUGGUUUGCCAGAAGCGGCUUAGUCAUGCUGGCCACAUGUCCCAGAAGCUGUACACCGGCUCCCUCAGCCAAUAAAGCGAGAUGAGCGCCACAACCCCAGAGUCAGCCAUGACUGGACCUAAUGGUCAGGGGUCCCUUUACCUUUACCUAAAGCAAGGAUCUAGUCAUCAAGCAGGCUGGCUGCUGCCCAGUACCAAUAUCCCGGCCUGCGUGAUGCGACAACAUUGAUGGGAAUGGCAGGAGUCUCAGGCUUGCUGCACUGCAAAUUGAUACUGUGGGCUAAACCUGCCCUGAGUGCGUAACAUACGUACCAGCUCCUGAACUCAACUGGGAGAAUGGCAGUGGUGGGGAACUGAGGACCUAAUGUCUCCCUGUCCCUUAGGAUUCUCCCUAGGCCACUCCUGCUCCCCAGUUGUGCCUUCCUUGAGAGCUUUUGCUCGGGUGGAAUUUUCCCUUGAACCCUGAUAAUGCCUUGUGAUCAAGGACAAAGAUGGGAGUGUGAUGGUGUGUGGGCAAAAUUUAUAUUCAUUGGUCACUGUUGGUGUGAAAUUUACUUUAUAUUACUAUUCACUCAAUAAGCAACCCAAUUACACACACACACACACACACACACACACACACACAAUUUUUAUUUAUUUAUUUUCCAUUUAGUUAUAUGCAUUCACAUCAUCCUUGUCCACUUUACUGCCCUGGCUCUUUAGAGCCUAUUGACUUCCUUCCCUCCUGCCUCACGGCUUUCAAAAUUAACCUUUGUAUCAUUGCAUUUUGUACAUUUUCCAAUCCUAAUUACACUCAUUACAAAAUGGCUCAAAAUUUAAAUAAAUAUAGAAAGGUAGAAAAUUUCUCAUUACGAGUCUUUAGACAACCUUGCUAGUGAUGUAAAUUGCUUACAAUAAUCUUUCAAAUAUUGUAUAAAUUUGCUCCAGUCCUUUUGGAAUACUUGAUCGUGCUGGUUUCAGAUUUUCCUGUCAGCUUCGCCAGUUCUGCAAAGUCCAUCAUCUUCAUCUGCCGCUCUUCUUUCGUUGGCACAUCUUCUUGUUUCCAUUUUUCGGCUAAAAGAAUUCUUGUCUUUUAUCUUUCCUUGGUAUCUCUUCACCCAGUAAAAAGGCUUCUGGUUUUUUUAACAAAAGUAUAUUUAAACAUUUUCUUUAACUCAUUAUAUACCAUUCAAUCUAAUUACACUUACAUAAGCUCACAAUGAGGAAGACCAAUUUGCUUUCACUGCAUUUGAGUAAAACUAUGCCAAGUAAAACUAUGGGGGACGCGGGUGGCGCUGUGGGUAAAACCUCAGUGCCUAGGACUUGCUGAUCGCAAGGUCGGCGGUUUGAAUCCCCGCAGCGGGGUGAGCUCCCGUCGUUUGGUCCCAGCUCCUGCCCACCUAGCAGUUCGAAAGCGCGUCAAAGUGCAAGUAGAUAAAUAGGUACUGCUUUAUAGCGGGAAGGUAAACGGCGUUUCCGUGUGCAGCGCUGGUGCUGGCUUGCCAGAUGCCGCUUGGUCACGCUGGCCACGUGACCCGGAAGUGUCUCCGGACUGCGCUGGCUCUCGGCCUCUUGAGCGAGAUGAGCGCGCAACCCUAGAGUCGGACACGACUGGCCCGUACGGGCAGGGGUACCUUUACCUUUACCUUUUAUGCCAAGCGUUACCAAAUUUUAAUUACAUUGAAUUAAAAACAAGCUAAAACUUAUGUAAGCAAAAAAGUGAAUUGGACCCAACACACACAUUUUUGUAGACAUUUCCUCCUAAUAUAUGCAUUUUUGCAAACAUUGUUUGGCUAGAGAACUGCAUCAAAUUUAUUUGAUAAGUAUGAAUUUUGGAGGAUAGUUGUAUUUUGGUUCUUGUUGCUUUGGAAAGUGCUGUUUGAUAUACUUUGUUGUUGUUUAGUCAUUUAGUUGUGUCUGACUCUUCAAGACCCCAUGGACCAGAGCACGCCAGGCACUUCUAUUAAGAAUAAUUUUUUAUUAACCGACCAAUCACAUCAAAUCAAACCAAAUUACAUAAAUUCCAAAUUACAGAGCCGAAUUUUAAACUUUUGUUGGGAGUACCCAUAUUUCAAGUUCCGAAGGGAUCCAAUCAACUUCUUGCUUCUUGCUGCUGUUUUAAUGUCCACAAAUCUAACCUUAUGAUGUUCACAGUACUAUCCAGUCCUUUCUUAUUAUUUUUCCACAUCUCUUGUUAUUUUCAUAUAUUUUUCCUUUCUCUUUGUGACCUUUGAUAGUCGCACGCCAGGCACUUCUGUCUUCCACUGUCUCCCGCAGUUUGGUCAGAAUCAUGUUUGUAGCUUCGAGAACACUGUCCAACCAUUUCGUCCUCUGUCGUCCCCUUCUCCUUGUGCCCUCCAUCUUUCCCAACAUCAGGGUCUUUUCCAAGGAGUCUUCUCUUCUCAUGAGGUGGCCAAAGUAUUGGAGCCUCAGCUUCAGGACCUGCCCUUCCAGUGAGCACUCAGGGCUGAUUUCCUUCAGAAUGGAUAGGUUUGAUUUUCUUGCAGUCCAUGGUACUCUCAAGAGUCUCCUCCAGCACCAUAAUUCAAAAGCAUCAAUACUAUUCUUCUUUAAAUUUGAACUGAAUUGAAUUGUUUCUCCAUCCCUAAGCCAUCUCCAAGACAUUGCAAAGAGGACCUGUGGCUCAGCUGUAAUAUCACACUUGAAGACUGGCAGGAACCUUGCAUAUAGGAAGAUAUACAAUAGUUGCUGUAAUUUUCCAUACCUGGGUACUACAAGUAGGUUACCGUCUUUUCAGCCCCACCCACCAGGACUUCAGUUUUCUGAAACUGCUGUUUGUUUUGUUUUGUUUGACAAUCCUUUGGAAUAUACUGCUAUCUUGUGGAAAGAGGGAGAAAUGCAACUUAAUAAUUCUUGCGAGGGAGGCUUGUUCCACUGAGAGAAUCCAUUGGAGGAUAAAGCACACUAAUUUGGCAAAAAUGGAGAGUCAAAUGAGAGUAGAAGGAGAGAAAAAAAGACAGUAACAGGGUAUGAAUACAGUGAACAGUAUUUGUAUUUUAUUUAUUUAUUUCAUGAAAUCCGUACACCGCUUGAUUGUAGAAUAUCUCAAAUUGGUAUUUUGCAUCAGUAAACAUUUUAAAGAUGAGCUCAGAUUUUUAAAAUGGUUCAAAGUAUCCUUUAUAUGAGCUAGAAAACAACAAAAAGCACAUUUUGACCACUGGUAUGAAUUAGCUGGAUAUAGCCUCCUGCCUUACAACACAGUCCUAACUCUGUUUAUUCAGAAGCAACUCCUCUAUGUUCAACAAUACGUUUCACAAUAGGGAAAACAUUGCAGGUGUGAAUAUGGGAGCACCCAAAUAAAUAGCCUUUAUUUAUGCCGUUUUGGACUAUCUCUUUGCAAAACUGUCUAAUUUACUGGCAUCUUUUGGUAGCAAACAGAAUAAGUCAAUCACACUUGAAUGCAAUGUUUUCAUUCUGCAAUUUCCAUACUUCCAUGCAUUUAUUACAAGGCAGUGACAAGUCAUAUCUCAACGGGACUUGAGAUACGUUUCUCCUCAGUUGAUGCUGACUAAGAUCCAGUAGCCAAUUGGCAGUUUUGAACCGAUGCUAUCAAAUUCUUUGAUCCCUCAAACUGUUUGAAAUUUCAUUUGAAUAUAUUACCCCCUCGUGCAUGUGCACUGGCGCCAGGUAUAUGGGGCACAAGGGGCUCCAGCCCCCUCCAUAUUUUGAAUCGGGGGCCCAGCCCCCCCAAUAUUGAGGGAGCUGACAUCCUUAGCAAGUACGCUACCUAUCCAAAUAUAAAGUUUGUGUAUUGUUGAUCAAUGCAUGGAUGUUACAGGUGAGGGCAGCAGAGAAAAUUACUAGUCCAGCCUCUGUCAACUGAUUCUACUGCUUUUCAGAAAAUCUGAGUUGGGUAGCGCAUUAAAUAAAUCCCAAAAACAAGCAUUUCAAAAGGGUGGCAUCUAUUUCCCCUCCAAUAUAUCUUUGGUAACUGGCACUAGUGAUUAAGCUUGCAUAGCUUGUCUGCUCCUAAUAGAUUUCGGCAGAGAUUUGCUGCAACCCACUUCAUCGGAAAUGAAACAAAUUUUGUAGCCCAACUGGGCUAUGCUUGCUGAUUAAGGAUUUGCAUAUUUGCACAUGAGAUUGUCUAUUUCAAUUUGGUGCAACUCAAACUGAAAUGUCGAAACACUUUCCAUCUGGUUUGUGCAUAACUCACUCGUAAGGUAGAGGAAGUGCGGCAACUGUGAAAACAGUCUUCGUACAGUAAGUAAUUGUUACCCAGGGAUCUUUCAAAACUACGCGAACACAGGAUACCAUCCUUGUAAACCACAGGCUUUCUUUCUGGAAGCAGAACUGCUUUAAUUGGAAAAACAGGUCAAUGAAGAAAACCGAAGAAUGCUUCCUCCCAGCAAAAUAAAAUAAAUUGAAAUAAAUGAAUGUAGGGAGCAGCUAUUGAGAGAGUGAUUUCCCUUGUGGAAAUUUCAUGGGUGGGAAUUUAAACUUCCCAUUUACUGCUGCCUUCCCAAUCAAAGCCCUAGCAAGACUUUUAACUUUUUGAAAAAUGUGGGAGAUCCAGUGUCAUACCUACUCCCAUCUCAUCCAGUUGCAUCUUUAUUAAUUGACUGGGUUUUAAAAGAAAGAGAGUGUUUGUUCAUUUUACUGAAAGUUAUAUUAUUAUUUUUUAAAAAACCCUAAUUGUACGGUGUUAUGUCAUGGACACAAGCCUUGUACAAGUUGAUGAGAUAGUGUCCAUUUGUUUACAUUCAUGUGCACUGAAAUCAACACACAUCCUCAGCACUGAGAGAUCAAACUUUGAAAAUUUGGGGGAUGACUGUUGAAAUGUAAAGAGAGGCAACUCUAAUGUACUAGUUUGCAAACUAAUAAGUCUUUCUUCCUUUUUAGAAAGGCAUCCCCCCCAAGAUUGCAAGCAAAUGAAAAUGGGGAUAAGACAAGGAGAGUCACUCACUAGGAUUAGAUAGCAGAAAACGGGAAUUACUUCUAUAAAAG
Molecule: long non-coding RNA, 37212 nt
Filed under: Podarcis lilfordi (Lilford's wall lizard)
Lineage: Eukaryota; Metazoa; Chordata; Lepidosauria; Squamata; Lacertidae
Source: RNAcentral